GUCGAACCGUCCAAACGUUAUUCGGAAUCACUGGGCUUAAAGGAUGCGUAGGCGGAGAGGCAAGUCAGAGGUGAAAGCCCACGGCUCAACCGUGGAAGUGCCCCUGAAACGGCCUCUCUCGAGGGAGAUAGGGGCGUGCGGAACUCAGAGUGGAGCGGUGAAAUGCGUAGAUAUUCUGAGGAACACCGGUGGCGAAAGCGGCACGCUGGGUCUUUGCUGACGCUGAGGCACGAAAGCUAGGGGAGCAAACGGG
RNAcentral lists this ribosomal RNA (253 nucleotides) under uncultured bacterium. RNAcentral's name for it is "partial 16S ribosomal RNA". It matches the Rfam family "Bacterial small subunit ribosomal RNA", at positions 524 to 776 of the family's 1533-position model. The record is from RNAcentral.